Molecule: ribosomal RNA, 402 nt
Filed under: uncultured bacterium
Lineage: Bacteria
Description: bacterial SSU rRNA
Rfam family: Bacterial small subunit ribosomal RNA
Source: RNAcentral
AGGGAAUAUUGCAAAAUGGGCGAAAGCCCGAUGCAGCAACGCCGCGUGGGCGAUGAAGGCCUUCGGGUCGUAAAGCCCUUUUUGAGGGGAUGAGGAAGGACAGUACCCUCAGAAUAAGCCUCGGCUAACUACGUGCCAGCAGCCGCGGUAAAACGUAGGAGGCGAGCGUUAUCCGGAUUUACUGGGCGUAAAGCGCGUGAAGGCGGAUUGGAGAGUUGGAUGUGAAAGCUCCCGGCUUAACUGGGAGAGGUCGUUCAAUACUUCCAGUCUUGAGUGCAGUAGAGNGAAGUGGAAUUCCGGGUGUAGUGGUGAAAUGCGUAGAUAUCCGGAGGAACACCAGUGGCGAAAGCGGCUUCCUGGACUGUAACUGACGCUCAGACGCGAAAGCUAGGGUAGCAAACG